GACGAACGCUGGCGGCGUGCCUAAUACAUGCAAGUAGAACGCUGAAGGAGGAGCUUGCUUCUCUGGAUGAGUUGCGAACAGGUGAGUAACGCGUAGGUAACCUGCCUGGUAGCGGGGGAUAACUAUUGGAAACGAUAGCUAAUACCGCAUAAGAGUAGAUGUUGCAUGACAUUUGCUUAAAAGGUGCAAUUGCAUCACUACCAGAUGGACCUGCGUUGUAUUAGCUAGUUGGUGGGGUAACGGCUUACCAAGGCGACGAUACAUAGCCGACCUGAGAGGGUGUUCGGCCACACUGGGACUGAGACACGGCCCAGACUCCUACGGGAGGCAGCAGUAGGGAAUCUUCGGCAAUGGACGGAAGUCUGACCGAGCAACGCCGCGUGAGUGAAGAAGGUUUUCGGAUCGUAAAGCUCUGUUGUAAGAGAAGAACGAGUGUGAGAGUGGAAAGUUCACACUGUGACGGUAUCUUACCAGAAAGAGACGGCUAACUACGUG
RNAcentral lists this ribosomal RNA (495 nucleotides) under uncultured bacterium. RNAcentral's name for it is "partial 16S ribosomal RNA". It matches the Rfam family "Bacterial small subunit ribosomal RNA", at positions 28 to 507 of the family's 1533-position model. The record is from RNAcentral.